This 465-nucleotide ribosomal RNA is filed under the name uncultured bacterium. RNAcentral describes it as "partial 16S ribosomal RNA". It matches the Rfam family "Bacterial small subunit ribosomal RNA", at positions 28 to 507 of the family's 1533-position model. The record is from RNAcentral.
GACGAACGCUGGCGGCGUGCUUAACGCAUGCAAGUCGAACGGAAAGGCCCUGCUUGCAGGGUACUCGAGUGGCGAACGGGUGAGUAACACGUGGGUGAUCUGCCCUGCACUUCGGGAUAAGCCUGGGAAACUGGGUCUAAUACCGGAUAGGAGCCAUUUUUUGUGUGAUGGUUGGAAAGUUUUUUCGGUGUAGGAUGAGCUCGCGGCCUAUCAGCUUGUUGGUGGGGUAAUGGCCUACCAAGGCGGCGACGGGUAGCUGGCCUGAGAGGGUGGACGGCCACAUUGGGACUGAGAUACGGCCCAGACGCCUACGGGAGGCAGCAGUGGGGAAUAUUGCACAAUGGGCGCAAGCCUGAUGCAGCGACGCCGCGUGGGGGAUGACGGCCUUCGGGUUGUAAACUCCUUUCGCUAGGGACGAAGCUUUUUGUGACGGUACCUAGAUAAGAAGCACCGGCUAACUACGUG